This 432-nucleotide ribosomal RNA is filed under the name uncultured bacterium. RNAcentral describes it as "bacterial SSU rRNA". It matches the Rfam family "Bacterial small subunit ribosomal RNA", at positions 96 to 524 of the family's 1533-position model. The record is from RNAcentral.
UGGCGGACGGGUGAGUAAUGCCUAGGAAUCUGCCUGGUAGUGGGGGAUAACGUUCGGAAACGGACGCUAAUACCGCAUACGUCCUACGGGAGAAAGCAGGGGACCUUCGGGCCUUGCGCUAUCAGAUGAGCCUAGGUCGGAUUAGCUAGUUGGUGAGGUAAUGGCUCACCAAGGCGACGAUCCGUAACUGGUCUGAGAGGAUGAUCAGUCACACUGGAACUGAGACACGGUCCAGACUCCUACGGGAGGCAGCAGUGGGGAAUAUUGGACAAUGGGCGAAAGCCUGAUCCAGCCAUGCCGCGUGUGUGAAGAAGGUCUUCGGAUUGUAAAGCACUUUAAGUUGGGAGGAAGGGCAGUUACCUAAUACGUGAUUGUUUUGACGUUACCGACAGAAUAAGCACCGGCUAACUCUGUGCCAGCAGCCGCGGUAAU